This 71-nucleotide transfer RNA is filed under the name Parcubacteria group bacterium. RNAcentral's name for it is "tRNA-Gly". It matches the Rfam family "tRNA". Rfam says of the family: Transfer RNA (tRNA) molecules are approximately 80 nucleotides in length. Their secondary structure includes four short double-helical elements and three loops (D, anti-codon, and T loops). The record is from RNAcentral.
GCGGGCAUAGUUUAGUGGCAGAACAGUUGCUUCCCAAGCAACGGAUCGGGGUUCGAUUCCCCGUGCCCGCA